RNAcentral lists this ribosomal RNA (253 nucleotides) under uncultured bacterium. RNAcentral's name for it is "partial 16S ribosomal RNA". It matches the Rfam family "Bacterial small subunit ribosomal RNA", at positions 524 to 776 of the family's 1533-position model. The record is from RNAcentral.
UACAUGGGGUGCAAACGUUGCUCGGAAUUAUUGGGCGUAAAGCGCGCGCAGGCGGUCCUUUAAGUCUGAUGUGAAAGCCCACGGCUCAACCGUGGAGGGUCAUUGGAAACUGGGGGACUUGAGUACAGAAGAGGAAAGCGGAAUUCCACGUGUAGCGGUGAAAUGCGUAGAGAUGUGGAGGAACACCAGUGGCGAAGGCGGCUUUCUGGUCUGUAACUGACGCUGAGGCGCGAAAGCGUGGGGAGCAAACAGG